RNAcentral lists this small RNA (895 nucleotides) under Pan troglodytes (chimpanzee). RNAcentral describes it as "processed transcript". Lineage: Eukaryota; Metazoa; Chordata; Mammalia; Primates; Hominidae. The record is from RNAcentral.
CCUGUUUGUCCGCCACUGUUUGAAAACAGUUGGCGCCGCCGCCGCCGGGGCCUCAGUUCCAGGUCAGUCCCCGGCCUGACGCGGCGUUGCGUCCCCCGGGAGCUGCGCUAGGCGAACGGCUGCGGCGCUUUGUGCUCCAGUCGCUCCUAACGCUCCCUGGCCCGGCAGGGGCCGCGCAGUUAGGGCAUCUGAGGCGGGGAGAAGCGGCGGGGAGACGCCGGCUGCCAGCAUGUCGCUGCCUCCGGAGAAAGCCUCCGAGCUGAAGCAACUCAUCCACCAGCAGCUGAGCAAGAUGGAUGUCCAUGGUAGAAUAAGAGAAAUCCUUGCCGAGACUAUACGGGAAGAAUUGGCACCUGAUCAACAACAUUUAUCAACAGAAGAUUUGAUCAAAGCCCUUAGACGUCGAGGAAUCAUUGACGAUGUGAUGAAAGAACUUAAUUUUGUUACUGACAGUGUUGAGCAAGAACUCCCUUCCUCUCCAAAACAACCUAUUUGUUUUGAUAGACAAUCGACAUUAAAAAAAAGUUUUGGGUGGAAAAGCUUUCUUGGAACAUCUGCAAGAACCUGAGCCUUUACCUGGACAAGUUUGUUCAACGUUUACUUUAUGUUUACAUUAUCGAAACCAACGUUUUCGUUCUAAACCUGUUGCAUGUGCCUGUGAACCAGAUUUUCAUGAUGGCUUUUUACUUGAAGUCCACAGAGAAAGCUUGGGUAAGAAACAGUAAUAAAUUGUCAUUUAAUUGAGUAAAUCUUUGUUAUGUUUUAUUGUGAAACAAUAAUAAUGACUUUUUCCGUAAGGAGAGCUUUAUAAUGGAGGAAUCUAUUUUGUUUCCCACUGCUCUUUUCAAUUUAAACUACUAUCUACCUUCUUGCAAUAUUCUGUUUGCUAUUCAUU